ACCGUCUUCCACCCGCCCCUCCCGCCAUCAUCACCUGGUUCAUUGUCACUCCGUCCCGAUUCUGGGUUCUUGGGCGCGCCGAACUUCACGCGGACGCGUAGAGUGCCGUGCGUAAACGGGUCUCGUCGUUUAAAUAACAGGUGAAGAAAGGGCCGGGCAAGACCGGUGCCAGCCGCCGCGGUAAUACCGGCGGCUCGAGUGGGUGGCCACUAUUACUGGGCUUAAAGCGUUCGUAGCUGGUUUGUUAAGUCUCUGGGGAAAUCUGCCGGCUCAACCGGCAGGCAUUCCAGGAUACUGGCAGACUAGGGACCGGGAGAGGUGAGGGGUACUCCAGGGUAGGAGUGAAAUCCUGUAAUCCUUGGGGGACCACCUGUGGCGAAGGCGCCUCACCAGAACGGCUCCGACAGUGAGGGACGAAAGCUGGGGGAGCAAACCGGAUUAGAUACCCGGGUAGUCCCAGCUGUAAACGAUGCGCGUUAGGUGUAUCGGUGACCACGAGUCACCGAGGUGCCGAAGAGAAAUCGUGAAACGUGCCGCCUGGGAAGUACGGUCGCAAGGCUGAAACUUAAAGGAAUUGGCGGGGGAGCACCACAACAGGUGGAGCCUGCGGUUUAAUCGGACUCAACGCCGGGAAUCUCACCGGAUAAGACAGCUGGAUGAUAGUCGGGCUGAAGACUCUACUUGACUAGCUGAGAGGAGGUGCAUGGCCGUCGUCAGUUCGUACUGUGAAGCAUCCUGUUAAGUCAGGCAACGAGCGAGACCCACGCCAACAGUUGCCAGCUCGUCCUCCGGGAUGGUGGGGACACUGUUGGGACCGCCUCUGCUAAAGAGGAGGAAGGAAUGGGCAACGGUAGGUCAGCAUGCCCCGAAUUAUCCGGGCUACACGCGGGCUACAUGGGUGGGACAUGGGUAUCGACACCGAAAGGUGAAGGCAAUCUCCUAAACCCAUCCAUAGUUCGGAUUGUGGGCUCCACUCGCCCACAUGAAGCUGAAU
This 994-nucleotide ribosomal RNA is filed under the name uncultured archaeon. RNAcentral's name for it is "bacterial SSU rRNA". It matches the Rfam family "Archaeal small subunit ribosomal RNA", at positions 1 to 1287 of the family's 1478-position model. The record is from RNAcentral.